UACAUGGGGUGCAAACGUUUGCUCGGAAUUAUUGGGCGUAAAGCGCACGUAGGCGGUUCGUUAAGUCGGAUGUGAAAGCCCUCGGCUCAACUGAGGAAGUGCACCCGAAACUGGCGAGCUUGAGUACGAAAGAGGAUCGCGGAAUUCCCGGUGUAGAGGUGAAAUUCGUAGAUAUCGGGGAGGAACACCGGUGCGAAGGCGGCGAUCUGGGUCGAUACUGACGCUGAGGUGGCGAAAGCGUGGGGAGCAAACAGG
RNAcentral lists this ribosomal RNA (255 nucleotides) under uncultured bacterium. RNAcentral's name for it is "partial 16S ribosomal RNA". It matches the Rfam family "Bacterial small subunit ribosomal RNA", at positions 524 to 776 of the family's 1533-position model. The record is from RNAcentral.